Molecule: regulatory RNA element, 129 nt
Rfam family: Ribosomal protein L10 leader
About the family: This family is a putative r-protein leader autoregulatory structure found in B. subtilis and other low-GC Gram-positive bacteria. It is located in the 5' untranslated regions of mRNAs encoding ribosomal proteins L10 and L12 (rplJ-rplL). A Rho-independent transcription terminator structure that is probably involved in regulation is included at the 3' end.
Source: Rfam
UUUUUAUUGAUGAUUCUACCUAAGACUCAGGUGGCUUAUGCCUUAAUUAUACCUGCCGAGGAGUAUAAGUAUUCUUACUUAGAAACUUUCUCUAUGUCUUGGUGGACGUAGGGCUUUUUUAUUAUAAUA